GUGCAUGCUUCAGCAGCACAUAUACUAAAAUUGGGACUAUACAGAGGAAAUUAGCAUGGGCCCUGUGCAAAGAUGACACACAAAUUUGUAAAGCGUUCCAUAUUUUU
Small nuclear RNA from Otolemur garnettii (small-eared galago), 107 nucleotides. NCBI's taxonomy places the organism in Eukaryota, Metazoa, Chordata, Mammalia, Primates, Galagidae. The record is from Ensembl.